UUAACACUUUGAAACGAGACUGUUGUAAUAGGAGAAAGAGGACUCAUUAAAAAACACUUUUUUUCAGAUCUAUUGAAAAUUCUAGGCUUGAUCAUCAUGCAAGAGUAUGAUAUUCAAUUCACAGGAGUGUCUCCGUUUCAGACUAUCUCAUUAAUCAGCUUCAGGAAUAAAAGAAAAUGUCUUUAUUUUUGCUGGAUAAUUGGAAGGAUGACAUCAGCCCACAUCCUGAAUCUGGGAGUGAGGAAGACAAAUCCCUGGAAUUGCUUCAGCUCACAGAGAAGGUCAACAAAACACCUGGAAUUGGAACAAACUGUCCUCGUCUUCUCACUUUAUAUUUUCUGAAGGGAAAUAGAUUUUCUCACAGGUUUUCAGAGCUUGAUCUGAUAGGAAGGGCCAGAAGACUGUGAAUCACCCUUUUUCUCUCCCAGGUGCAAAAUAUAUUGGCAGCUACUAAACAUUAAACUCUUUCUGAGAAUUUUCUUCAUGCUCUGUACUUUCAGCCCCAAGUCAGUACAUCUCAUUUAACUCUCUUGAGUUUAUCACAGUUCAGUCACACCAAUUAGGUCUUAAAUAACAGGAAACUCAAAGAGAUGGCAAUGCAGAUCAAAGGUAUUUCCCAGACUGUCAUGUGCUAGUGGGCAAGAGGUCCUUUAGUUACAGUGUCAAGGGAAAGAAUAGCCCAUAGAAAUAAUUUUCCAGCUUCCUGGUUUAUGGGAGUAAUCUACUAUGACUUCUUUUGCAGCAUCAUUACCAUUAUUCUUAUCCCCCAAGCACAUUGUGGGGCUCCCUUAGGUUCAGUAUUUCUGCUGUGGCUUGGGGCACUUUACUAGACAUAUUGCAUUUUUUUUUAAUUUAAUUUUUUUAAAAGAAGCUUUAGAUUACAAAAAUGGUUCAUCAAAAAUAUAAGGGAUUCCUACAUACCCCAGUCCCUCCCCCUUCCAUGCUUUUCCCCAUUAACAACAUCUUUCAUUAGUGUGGUACAUUUGUUAGGAUUGAUAAACACUUAUUGAAGCCUUGUUACUAACCACAGCUGAUAGUUUGUUUACAUUAUGGUUUACACUUUGCAACAUGCAAUUUUACAGGUCUUGACAAAAUGUAUAAUAGCCUAUAUCUGUCAUUGCAAUAUCAUGCCUGACAAUUCCAAUGUCCCAAAAAUGCCCCAUGUUACACCUAUUCUUCCCUCUUCCUUCCCUCAGAAGCUCUGGUGACCACUGUCUUUUUAUCAAUGUCACAAAUUCUUCCACUGCUGGAAUAAUAAUAAAUCUACUUUUGUCCAUGGUUGCAUUCCCCCCUAUGUUUGUUCAUUCCUCAGUCUUGAGGAAUUUGAGAUGGUAAUAUCCACUCUAUUUCUGAUUGAGGAGGGGCUUAGAUCACAUGGGGCAGAUGGAUGGAACUUUCUUGCUUGCAGUUUUAGAC
RNAcentral lists this long non-coding RNA (1416 nucleotides) under Dasypus novemcinctus (nine-banded armadillo). RNAcentral's name for it is "lncRNA (ENSDNOG00000050424.1)". Lineage: Eukaryota; Metazoa; Chordata; Mammalia; Cingulata; Dasypodidae. The record is from RNAcentral.